GUGGGUGUUGCUCAGUGGUAGAGUGUGUGCUUAGCAUGCACGGGGUCCUGGGUUCAAUCCCCAGUACCUCCA
RNAcentral lists this transfer RNA (72 nucleotides) under Camelus bactrianus (Bactrian camel). It matches the Rfam family "tRNA". Rfam says of the family: Transfer RNA (tRNA) molecules are approximately 80 nucleotides in length. Their secondary structure includes four short double-helical elements and three loops (D, anti-codon, and T loops). Lineage: Eukaryota; Metazoa; Chordata; Mammalia; Artiodactyla; Camelidae. RNAcentral also lists the same sequence under 2 other names. The record is from Rfam by way of RNAcentral.